This 254-nucleotide ribosomal RNA is filed under the name uncultured bacterium. RNAcentral's name for it is "partial 16S ribosomal RNA". It matches the Rfam family "Bacterial small subunit ribosomal RNA", at positions 524 to 776 of the family's 1533-position model. The record is from RNAcentral.
GACAGAGGGUGCAAACGUUGCUCGGAAUCACUGGGCGUAAAGGGCGUGUAGGCGGGUAGGCAAGUCGGGCGUGAAAUCCCUGAGCUCAACUCAGGAACUGCACUCGAAACUGCUUAUCUUGAGUGCCGGAGAGGAAAGCGGGAAUACCUGGUGUAGAGGUGAAAUUCGUAGAUAUCAGGUGGAACACCAGUGGCGAAGGCGGCUUUCUGGACGGUAACUGACGCUGAGACGCGAAAGCGUGGGGAGCAAACAGG